Clostridium tetani E88 is the source of this 168-nucleotide regulatory RNA element. It matches the Rfam family "Lysine riboswitch aptamer". From Rfam's summary of the family: Riboswitches are metabolite binding domains within certain messenger RNAs that serve as precision sensors for their corresponding targets. Allosteric rearrangement of mRNA structure is mediated by ligand binding, and this results in modulation of gene expression. NCBI's taxonomy places the organism in Bacteria, Bacillati, Bacillota, Clostridia, Eubacteriales, Clostridiaceae. The record is from Rfam.
ACCCAGGGUAGAGGAGCUAUAAUUAAGAGUACUUAUCUUAAACUGCCAAGUAAUGAUAGAUAGGAAAAGGAAUUAUAGCCGAAGAAAAUAGGGUGGUAAUCUAUUUUCUGGCUUUGCAUAAAAUAUGUGUAAAGCUGUCACUUUAAAAAGUGUUGAGCUACAGAGGUC